This 916-nucleotide long non-coding RNA is filed under the name Homo sapiens (human). Its description in RNAcentral is "non-protein coding lnc-MUSK-3:1". The record is from RNAcentral. Lineage: Eukaryota; Metazoa; Chordata; Mammalia; Primates; Hominidae.
UCCUUGUUUUAGCUCAUUUCCUUCUUCUUAUUCAAGCAGAUCGAGGCUGUGUGCUUCUCAUCUUAGGGAAGAAUAUAGCAAGAUGGCAGCAGAAAAAAAUCAGACUCCAAAAUCUAAGUCUUCAGUCCAGGGAUAUAUCCUGAGCUUCAAGUUUCACAUAGCCACCUUCCUACCACAAAAUUCUCAUUUGAAGGCUCUACUCAUUAUCUUUUCUCUGUAAAAUUGCUCUUAUGUUCCUUAUCUCAACGUAUCACAUGUCCAUCCAUCCAGUAUUCGAGGUCAUAACUUAAGAAAACAUCUUUAUCCAAACAAUCACCGUGUCCCAAACACCCCUGAAUCCAUUCAUCUCUGCACCUCCAUUGCCACCUUCAUCUUUCGUCUCAGUUAAUGUGACGGCCUCUGAUCCUAUCUUUUGCCUUCAGUCUUUCUUCUCCAAUUUAUUCUGAAGUGUAAACCAGAUUGUGUGGUUUUUUUUUAAACUUAAAUCCUUUAGCUUAUUUCCCACAAUUCUCAAGGAUAAAAUCACUUCCAAAAUCACUCAAGUCAUCACGCCAGCCUGCCUUUCAAGCCUCAUCCUCACAGUCUAUACCUGCCCUUCUUUCCCAAAUGGCAUGCUUUCUCUCACUAAGCAUUUACACAUCUUGUCUGAAAUUCCUAUCUGCAUAUGCUAAAUGCGUGCCAAUUUUUCUAAUGGGUUGUUUUGACGUGAACUGAUUACCAGAGUGAGUGCAAGUUCAAGAGCUUGACAGGGGCACACCUCUGUGCAACUCAGGCUCAAGGUGAGUGGCUUUGACAGGACAGUUCUCAUUCUAAGACAGAGCAUUCUAAAUUAUCCUUUCAAAGAUAGUUCCUCUCCCUAUCUUCCACCAUCCAUUUUAUUUUCCUUUAAUUUCUAUGUCAUGCCAUUGUUUCCUUC